Molecule: ribosomal RNA, 263 nt
Filed under: uncultured bacterium
Lineage: Bacteria
Description: partial 16S ribosomal RNA
Rfam family: Bacterial small subunit ribosomal RNA
Source: RNAcentral
UACUCCUACGGGGGGCAGCAGUGGGGGAUAUUGCACAAUGGGGGAAACCCUGAAGCAGCAACGCCGCGUGGAGGAUGAAGGUUUUAGGAUUGUAAACUCCUUUUGUAAGAGAAGAUUAUGACGGUAUCUUACGAAUAAGCACCGGCUAACUCCGUGCCAGCAGCCGCGGUAAUACGGAGGGUGCAAGCGUUACUCGGAAUCACUGGGCGUAAAGAGCGUGUAGGCGGGUGGUCAAGUCAGAUGUGAAAUAUUGUAGCUUAACU